AAAAAGGUGGGGGUCUAAACCAAUGAAAACGUUUAAGAGAGUUUAGUGGCUCCUAUUUUUGGGGGAGCUGAUUAUUCAGUUUUCAGUAUAAAUAUUCUGCACUAAAGAGGAAGAGAGGAGGGAGAACACGACAGAAGAAGAAAACUGUUGCAGGAGCAAAAUUGCAGGAGCACAAAUACAAGAGGAGACAUUUUCACAGGUUAACAAAACCAGAUACGAUGGCACCACAAGUAACGAUUUUCUUCCACAAAAUUGAAACUACCAAGAAUGCGUGCACCAAACGAGUAGGGUUCAAAAAGACUUUCAUUGUUGGUGAGAGCCUCAUCAAGUGCAUUGUGUCAAAGCCCAUUUAGAGGGCUAGACCUCAGGUCACUCCUAAGGUCCUCAAGACCCAAUUGAAGAAAACUCCGUCCAAGAACGCUCUCCGAAAUGGAAGAAAGAGGGCUGCGCGUGCUUUAAGAAAGAAAGAAGCAAAAAAGGAGUCUAUUGAGGCAAUCUUAUCCCAGCUUUCUGGGACAAGCCCAAUAAUGACUGAGGGCAAGAACACCUUAACCACCCUGGCUGUGCCGACUCCCAAGAGAACAAAUACUUCCCGAUUUGUCCAAAUCAUGAUUGGAUCAAUUCCAGUCAACCUAUAUCCUACAGAUUCUGUUCUGAUGACUUCCACCAACGAAGCUAGAGAUGAAGGUCAAAAGGACGACUUCGUG
RNAcentral lists this long non-coding RNA (707 nucleotides) under Prunus persica (peach). RNAcentral's name for it is "long non-coding RNA (PPER_LNC006375)". The record is from RNAcentral. Lineage: Eukaryota; Viridiplantae; Streptophyta; Magnoliopsida; Rosales; Rosaceae.